AGAGUUUGAUCCUGGCUCAGAAUGAACGUUGGCGGCGUGGAUUAGGCAUGCAAGUCGAAUGCGAAAGGGGCAACCCCGGUAGCAUGGCGAAAGGGGUAGUAAUACUUAGGUAACCUACCUCCAGCUCUGGGAUAAAGGCUAAUCACCGGGUAAUACUGGACAUCUUUGCGGGGAGGCAUCUCUCUGUAAAGAAAGCUACGGCGGCUGGAGAGGGGCUUAAGCUCCAUCAGGUAGUUGGCGAGGUAACGGCUCACCAAGCCUUUGACGGAUAGGGGGUGUGAGAGCACGAUCCCCACCACUGGCACUGAGACACUGGCCAGACACCUACGGGUGGCUGCAGUCGAGAAUCUUCGGCAAUGGGCGAAAGCCUGACCGAGCGACGCCGCGUGGAGGAAGAAGGCCUUCGGGUUGUAAACUUCAAUCCCUGGGGAACAAAUCAAUGAGCGUACCCAGAGGAAGCACGGGCUAAGUUCGUGCCAGCAGCCGCGGUAAGACGAACCGUGCGAACGUUAUUCGGAAUCAUUGGGCUUAAAGGGCGCGUAGGCGGCAGCAUAAGUCGGAAGUGAAAUCCCAUCGGCUCAACCGUGGAAUCGCUCCCGAUACUGUGUUGCUUGAGGGAAAUAGGGGUCCGCGGAACUACCGGUGGAGCGGUGAAAUGUGUUGAUAUCGGUGGGAACGCCAGUGCCGAAAGGGGCGGACUGGACUUUUUCUGACGCUGAGGCGCGAAAGCUAGGGGAGCAAACGGGAUUAGAUACCCCGGUAGCCCUAGCCUUAAACGUUGGGUACUGGGUAGAAAGGGU
Molecule: ribosomal RNA, 800 nt
Filed under: uncultured bacterium
Lineage: Bacteria
Description: bacterial SSU rRNA
Rfam family: Bacterial small subunit ribosomal RNA
Source: RNAcentral